UGAUCCUGGCUCAGGACGAACGCUGGCGGCGUGCUUAACACAUGCAAGUCGAACGGGAUUUAGUAAACAGAAACUUCGGUGGAAGAUUACUAAUGAGAGUGGCGAACGGGUGAGUAACGCGUGAGCAACCUGCCUAUGACAGUGGGAUAGCCUCGGGAAACCGGGAUUAAUACCGCAUAAAAUCGUAGAAACACAUGUUUUAACGGUCAAAGAUUUAUCGGUCAUAGAUGGGCUCGCGUCUGAUUAGCUAGUUGGUGAGAUAACAGCCCACCAAGGCGACGAUCAGUAGCCGGUCUGAGAGGAUGAACGGCCACAUUGGAACUGAGACACGGUCCAAACUCCUACGGGAGGCAGCAGUGGGGAAUAUUGCACAAUGGGGGAAACCCUGAUGCAGCGACGCCGCGUGAACGAAGAAGGUAUUCGUAUCGUAAAGUUCUGUCCUAUGGGAAGAUAAUGACAGUACCAUAGAAGAAAGCUCCGGCUAAAUACGUGCCAGCAGCCGCGGUAAUACGUAUGGAGCGAGCGUUGUCCGGAAUUAUUGGGCGUAAAGGGUACGCAGGCGGUUUAAUAAGUCGAAUGUUAAAGAUCGGGGCUCAACCCCGUAAAGCAUUGGAAACUGAUAAACUUGAGUAGUGGAGAGGAAAGUGGAAUUCCUAGUGUAGUGGUGAAAUACGUAGAUAUUAGGAGGAAUACCAGUAGCGAAGGCGACUUUCUGGACACAAACUGACGCUGAGGCUCGAAAGCGUGGGGAGCAAACAGGA
This 761-nucleotide ribosomal RNA is filed under the name uncultured Eubacteriales bacterium. RNAcentral describes it as "bacterial SSU rRNA". It matches the Rfam family "Bacterial small subunit ribosomal RNA", at positions 14 to 777 of the family's 1533-position model. Lineage: Bacteria; Bacillati; Bacillota; Clostridia; Eubacteriales. The record is from RNAcentral.